RNAcentral lists this ribosomal RNA (612 nucleotides) under Chlorella vulgaris. RNAcentral describes it as "eukaryotic LSU rRNA". It matches the Rfam family "Eukaryotic large subunit ribosomal RNA", at positions 38 to 667 of the family's 3401-position model. Lineage: Eukaryota; Viridiplantae; Chlorophyta; Trebouxiophyceae; Chlorellales; Chlorellaceae. The record is from RNAcentral.
GCAUAUCAAUAAGCGGAGGAAAAGAAAUCAACCGAGAUGCCCUUAGUAACGGCGAGCGAACCGGGCAAAGCCCAACUUGAAAAUCUCCAGCCUAUGGCUGGCGAAUUGUAGUCUAGAGAAGCGCUCUCUGCCCCACCCCGGCCCCAAGUCCCCUGGAAAGGGGCGUCAAAGAGGGUGAGAACCCCGUUGGGACCGGAUUUUGGGGCUCCACGAGACGCUUUCGUAGAGUCGGGUUGCUUGGGAAUGCAGCCCAAAGAAGGUGGUAAAUCCCAUCUAAGGCUAAAUACAGACGGGAGACCGAUAGCGAACAAGUACCGUGAGGGAAAGAUGAAAAGAACUUUGAAAAGAGAGUUAAAAAGUACUUGAAACUGUUGAGAGGGAAGCGAUUGGAUCCUACGGGUGCGCCCAGGCACACGCCUGCCUAACGGUUGGCUGAAUGCGCUGGGUGCUGGUCAGCAUGGGUUGUCCGGGCGGGAUAAAACCGGGGGUUGUUACCCCGGCUAUGUCGCCUGGCCGACCGAGGAACGAAGGGCGCUCUUUGAGUCCUCCGGGAACUGCGCCCUCAAGAUGCUGGCGGAAAGGUUCUAAUCGGCCCGUCUUGAAACACGGACC